Molecule: ribosomal RNA, 253 nt
Filed under: uncultured bacterium
Lineage: Bacteria
Description: partial 16S ribosomal RNA
Rfam family: Bacterial small subunit ribosomal RNA
Source: RNAcentral
UACGUAGGCAGCAAGCGUUGUUCGGAGUUACUGGGCGUAAAGGGUGCGUAGGCGGCUUCUUAAGUCUGGUGUGAAAUCUCCCGGCUCAACUGGGAGGGUGCGCCGGAUACUGAGGGGCUAGAGUGUGGGAGAGGAAAGUGGAAUUCCUGGUGUAGCGGUGAAAUGCGCAGAUAUCAGGAGGAACACCAAUUGCGAAGGCAGCUCGCUGGGACGUUACUGACGCUGAGACGCGAAAGCGUGGGGAGCAAACAGG